CCUACGGGAUGCUGCAGUGGGGAAUAUUGGACAAUGGGCGCAAGCCUGAUCCAGCUAUGCCGCGUGAGUGAUGAAGGCCUUAGGGUUGUAAAGCUCUUUUAGAUGGGAAGCGGUACCAUCAGAAAAAGCCCCGGCUAACUUCGUGCCAGCAGCCGCGGUAAUACGAAGGGGGCAAGCGUUGCUCGGAUUUAUUGGGCGUAAAGGGUGUGUAGGUGGCUUGAUAAGUUAGAUGUGAAAGCCCAGGGCUUAACCCUGGAAUUGCAUUUAAGACUGUUGAGCUUGAAGUUUGGAGAGGUUAGCAGAAUUCCCAGUGUAGAGGUGAAAUUCGUAGAUAUUGGGAAGAAUACCGAUGGCGUAGGCAGCUAACUGGCAAACUUGACACUGAGGCACGAAAGCGUGGGGAGCAAACAGGAUUAGAUACCCUAGUAGUC
RNAcentral lists this ribosomal RNA (431 nucleotides) under uncultured bacterium. Its description in RNAcentral is "partial 16S ribosomal RNA". It matches the Rfam family "Bacterial small subunit ribosomal RNA", at positions 338 to 795 of the family's 1533-position model. The record is from RNAcentral.